This 253-nucleotide ribosomal RNA is filed under the name uncultured bacterium. RNAcentral's name for it is "partial 16S ribosomal RNA". It matches the Rfam family "Bacterial small subunit ribosomal RNA", at positions 524 to 776 of the family's 1533-position model. The record is from RNAcentral.
UACGGGGGGUGCAAGCGUUAAUCGGAUUUACUGGGCGUAAAGCGUGCGUAGGCGGCUUUUUAAGUCGGAUGUGAAAUCCCUGAGCUUAACUUAGGAAUUGCAUUCGAUACUGGGAAGCUAGAGUAUGGGAGAGGAUGGUAGAAUUCCAGGUGUAGCGGUGAAAUGCGUAGAGAUCUGGAGGAAUACCGAUGGCGAAGGCAGCCAUCUGGCCUAAUACUGACGCUGAGGUGCGAAAGCAUGGGGAGCAAACAGG